GUAUUUGCUUUGGCAACCCAUAUACUAAAAUUGGAAUGAUACAAAGAAGAUUAGCAUGGCCCUGAGCCAGGAUGACAUGCGAAUUUGUGAAGAUUCCACAGUUUUA
Panthera leo (lion) is the source of this 106-nucleotide small nuclear RNA. NCBI's taxonomy places the organism in Eukaryota, Metazoa, Chordata, Mammalia, Carnivora, Felidae. The record is from Ensembl.